Molecule: ribosomal RNA, 960 nt
Filed under: Triticum aestivum (bread wheat)
Lineage: Eukaryota; Viridiplantae; Streptophyta; Magnoliopsida; Poales; Poaceae
Description: partial small subunit ribosomal RNA
Source: RNAcentral
AUGAAUGACCCGACCUACCAAACAAGUGAUAAAAAAAUUCCAAGAAGGCUCGUCAGGGUUGGACUUAGUCUUGGGAACUGUCUUAUCACAUGCGCAUGCCCCAUGCUCCACCAAGAAAAUUUUCUUGCAAAACUAACAUCUAUUAUUAGGAACUUUUGGUGGACAGGUGUUAGAGAAGAUCCAUCUACAAAAGUUUUAUGUCUAAGAGCUUGGGCUGAUAUAUGUAUUGGAAAAAAGGAAGGUGGCUUAGGUGUCAGAAAUCUACAGGCUAUCAAUCAAAGUCUUAUUCUGUCAGCUGCUUGGAGAUUAGCAAAGGAACCUCACAGUUACCUCUUUCUUAUCCUCAAGGCCAAAUACCACAAUGACACAUCAAUUUGGAGAGCAAAACAUAAUGUUCCAAAAUCAGCCUUCUGGACUCUAUUCUUAAGUCUUAUAAUCCACCAACCACCUUACUCUUAUCCAGUUGUUGUUAGUGAUCUUUGGCUUCCUAAUCAGAAAAGUUGGAACAUCAAUCUUGUCAAUGCUCUGUUUCAUCCUCAUACUACACAAGCAAUACUGCAAACUCCUAUUGUUAACACUGUUGGAGAGGACGUGUUAGUUUGGAAGCUAACCCUUCAAACCAGCGGCCAAAAUCUGUUCCACCGCAGAUUGCAAAUCUUCCCAAUCAGGUUUGGAAAGACAAACGCAUGGAGCCAAGAGUUCAAACUUUCGCAUGGAGACUUCUUCGCCGAGCACUUCCAACGGGUAAGCGUGCAACACGAAAUGAUGCCCAGCUUGGUAGAAAGUUUUGUAAACCAUCACAGCAGCAAGAAGGGGAUUGGGGAUGAGAGCCAGGAGAUGGAAGGAGAUUCACGCCCAAUGAUGGCCGGUUCAGGUCUUGCCUCCUCGGGUUGGUCCUUGUAUCCCGCUUGGGCCUCGUGGCCUGGCCUUGAGCCUCUUUGGUUGGGGUUGAUGGAGUAG